RNAcentral lists this unclassified non-coding RNA (479 nucleotides) under Hevea brasiliensis (rubber tree). The record is from RNAcentral. Lineage: Eukaryota; Viridiplantae; Streptophyta; Magnoliopsida; Malpighiales; Euphorbiaceae.
UCUAAAGGAGAGAAGUUUGCAAACUGUUGUUCCCUUGGCUACGUUGCCAUCCGAUGGAUCACUUAUUGAAAUGACCAAUGGCGUUGAGGCGUCUCAUAAGAUGUCAGCAGGGAACUUGAAUGCGGUCGUGGAACGAGAUAUUGGUGACAUGAAUGAGCCUCCUCCUAUAGAACCAAGCGAUUCUAUGAAUUCGCCUCUUCCCAUCUCUGUUUCGAAACCAUUGAUGAGUUACGGGAUUGGCAGGAUGACAGAGCUUUUACAGGCGGUGCAGGAAAAUCUGAUGGAGAACCAGGCACUUCGUGGUGAAGAGCUUAUUAGGCCGAUCAAUCCAAAAACGGAUGGUUAAAGAGAGGAAACAAGUAUGUUAUCUGAUGUCUCGCAUCCCUUAGCUUGGGAAGACCUCGAUAACACACAUACGGAUGUGGUUCAAUUGCUUCUGAAGUUGUACCUUGUCUUUUCCAUGGAAUGACAGAUCCGGG